GCCAUUUUGGUGCCAUUUUUUCUGCAAUUUUGCUGUAGUUUUGAUCCAAUGGCAUGAACAAGAACAACUUGCAAAUUUUAUACACCAAAUAAAUGAAGGAAACCUGUGCAAAAUAUCAACUUUACAAGUAUGACAGCUUCAUAAAUGGAGGAAACCUCGGCAAAAUAUCAAGAAUAAUUAUAGAUAUCAAAACCAGUGAUGCAACUUCACUGAUAUAAAUGUAGAGCAGAAGUUCCCUUAACCGGGAAAUAACAUCAUCCUAAUAGACACUGGUAUGUCACUCUGGGUGUAGUUCCCAAAUGUGCAAAUUCUAAUUUUAAAAGAAGUAAAUUUGUCUAGUCUGAUUUAGCUUCGGAAGUUGGUCAACUUAGAGCUCAAUUAAAGAAAAGUUCAAAAAAUUAUGGAUGGAGGGAGUGCUUUGGGAUUAAGUUAGUUGUUCCACUCAGGAAUUUUUUAUUUGGCCUGUGACUUGUAUGUUGGUGGGCGUUUAAGUGUGAAAUUAGUGGACCUUUAGUUGUAGAGAAUCCCAUAAUGAACAUAAAGGUUUCAUUUAUUCGGCUCCGACUAGAUAGGGAGUGAGGCAUAGGGGAUUGGUUAAUUUAAUGAGAUUGUAUCUGUUUUAAAGGCCAGAGGUAAAGCAAAGUAAAACAAAUCUGUGCUCCUCUCAUGCUGGUGUUGUCUUUCUUCCAUACAAUCAAAUCAAAUUUCUUCGACUUCAAGUUAUUGUCUCUUUCACUCUCCUUGUAGCUUGUCUCUUUUAAGAUUCAAGUCUGAUUGCUUUAAUUUGGUUUAAUAAUUUGAUUGUCCCACUAAGUUUACUCUGAAAUUAAUGCUUUCUUUGGCGUAUGUAGGUUGGAGCAAUCAUCUCAGGCGUUCAGCCAGGUUUAUCCAUGGUUUGGGACCCCCUGGUACGGGAAAGACUGAUAAUGCAAGUCAUUGGUUUUGGAUGGUAUGAUUACUAAAGAAGGGAUUCAUCAUGAAGAUAUGAUCCCGGUUCUGUUUAAUCGAUUGAGUUCAAGUAAAACAGACCAUAGAUUGAUUAUACUCCGAAUACUACAAGCACUGGCCGUAUAAGAUGAUGAACAUACGGUACAUUUAGUAUUUUAUUGAGUCUCAAAUAAUGAGAAUCAAGAAGCUGAAAGUUUUGAGUGGUUAAUUUUCACUUUGGUGUGCAGGAAAAGAUGGCACAAAUGGGGAAUUUAUUGAUACUGGUGAAGUCGUUGGGUCAUGAUUUGGAAGAGCAAAAAGAAGCAGUGGGGCUGUUACUGAGUCUAUCAGAUGUUGCUGCAGUUAGGAGAAGAGUCGGGAGAAUUCAAGGCUGCAUCGUCAUGUUGGUUGCAAUUUUUAAUGGGGAUGAUCAAAUGCCGUCACAUGACGCUGCCAACUUGUUAAAUUCUUUAUCAGGCAAUACCCAAUAUGCUCUUCAUAUGGCUGAGGCUGGCUAUUUCAAGCCUCUUGUACACUACUUGAACCAAGGUAUAUUUAGGACAUUUCCAUAAAUUAUAUGCAGUUCAAUAAGCUAUUUGAUUAAUUGUUUACGUAAAAUAUAUAUUCUAUGUAAAUGAUUGCAGGAUCAGACAUGAGUAAGAUUCUAAUGGCAACAGCACUUUCAAGAAUGGAACUCACAGAUCAAAAUAGAGCUAACCUGGGACAAGAUGGAGCCGUUGAACCGCUAGUCAAAAUGUUCACCUCCGGGAACCUAGAAGCUAAGCAAUCGUCUCUAAACGCGUUGCACAACUUGUCUGCCUCAAAAGCAAACGUUCAACGUCUGAUAAAAUCGGGCAUCGUUGCUACUCUGCU
This 1800-nucleotide long non-coding RNA is filed under the name Solanum tuberosum (potato). Its description in RNAcentral is "long non-coding RNA (STUB_LNC002038)". Lineage: Eukaryota; Viridiplantae; Streptophyta; Magnoliopsida; Solanales; Solanaceae. The record is from RNAcentral.